UGGAAAUUCGGGACAUGUGAUAAUGACAUAACCAUUGUGCAUUCUCGGGAUGACAGAAGAGUAGUAGCAUACGCUGGUUCCAUCGCAAACAGUAAGAUAGGAGGCACGGCGUGUCUGACCAAAAUAGUACAGGGAGCUGCGCCUUAUUUCUCUGGUCCAUACAGCGCCGAGGGGCUGGAGUACAUAGUUACAAGUUUCAAGAAGGUGUUUCAGGGAAACAGUUGUCCAAAUCCGGAAGAUUCGCCUGGUCAUCAGCUAAGCAGUAGAGCUAACAGCAACAGUAACAGAAAUGUCAAUAAUAACAAUAACAAUAAUAACAACAAUUACAAUACCAACAUGAAUCAUGGUUCA
Molecule: long non-coding RNA, 351 nt
Organism: Lingula anatina
Lineage: Eukaryota; Metazoa; Brachiopoda; Lingulata; Lingulida; Lingulidae
Source: RefSeq, a predicted model, not a curated record